RNAcentral lists this ribosomal RNA (1200 nucleotides) under uncultured Bacillus sp. Its description in RNAcentral is "bacterial SSU rRNA". It matches the Rfam family "Bacterial small subunit ribosomal RNA", at positions 249 to 1449 of the family's 1533-position model. Lineage: Bacteria; Bacillati; Bacillota; Bacilli; Caryophanales; Bacillaceae. The record is from RNAcentral.
GUGGGGGGUUAUGCUCCCCAAGGGGACGAUGGUACCCGACUUGAGGGGUGAUCGGCCAACUGGGACUGAACCCGGCCCAGAUUCCUACGGGAGGCAGCAGUAGGGAUCUUCCGCAAUGGACGAAAGUCUGACGGAGCAACGCCGCGUGAAUGAUGAAGUUUUCGGAUCGUAAAGCUCUGUUGUUAGGGAAGAACAAGUGCGAGAGUAACUGCUCGCACCUUGACGGUACCUAACCAGAAAGCCACGGCUAACUACGUGCCAGCAGCCGCGGUAAUACGUAGGUGGCAAGCGUUGUCCGGAAUUAUUGGGCGUAAAGGGCUCGCAGGCGGUUUCUUAAGUCUGAUGUGAAAGCCCCCGGCUCAACCGGGGAGGGUCAUUGGAAACUGGGAAACUUGAGUGCAGAAGAGGAGAGUGGAAUUCCACGUGUAGCGGUGAAAUGCGUAGAGAUGUGGAGGAACACCAGUGGCGAAGGCGACUCUCUGGUCUGUAACUGACGCUGAGGAGCGAAAGCGUGGGGAGCGAACAGGAUUAGAUACCCUGGUAGUCCACGCCGUAAACGAUGAGUGCUAAGUGUUAGGGGGUUUCCGCCCCUUAGUGCUGCAGCUAACGCAUUAAGCACUCCGCCUGGGGAGUACGGUCGCAAGACUGAAACUCAAAGGAAUUGACGGGGGCCCGCACAAGCGGUGGAGCAUGUGGUUUAAUUCGAAGCAACGCGAAGAACCUUACCAGGUCUUGACAUCCUCUGACAACCCUAGAGAUAGGGCUUUCCCUUCGGGGACAGAGUGACAGGUGGUGCAUGGUUGUCGUCAGCUCGUGUCGUGAGAUGUUGGGUUAAGUCCCGCAACGAGCGCAACCCUUGAUCUUAGUUGCCAGCAUUCAGUUGGGCACUCUAAGGUGACUGCCGGUGACAAACCGGAGGAAGGUGGGGAUGACGUCAAAUCAUCAUGCCCCUUAUGACCUGGGCUACACACGUGCUACAAUGGACAGAACAAAGGGCUGCAAGACCGCAAGGUUUAGCCAAUCCCAUAAAUCUGUUCUCAGUUCGGAUCGCAGUCUGCAACUCGACUGCGUGAAGCUGGAAUCGCUAGUAAUCGCGGAUCAGCAUGCCGCGGUGAAUACGUUCCCGGGCCUUGUACACACCGCCCGUCACACCACGAGAGUUUGCAACACCCGAAGUCGGUGAGGUAACCUUUAUGGAGC